CACCAGAAGGUUCAUCUCAUAUUCUUCUUUCUCUAUUCUUCUUUCUUCUUUUGUUGUUCUUAUCGGCAGCACCUCUCUCUCACUCUCUCACCAACAACCCUCCCUCUCUCUUUGAAACCAUAUAUUUCACUCUAAGGAAGAAAUGAAAAGAUUAGCCCUAAGAUUUCAGCUUCAAAGUUUGCAGAAAGUGAAAUGUCCCAUGCAUUAGAAAAUGGGAUAAGAAUAUUUCUCAGCAAUGCCUUGGAGAUGAGCCCAAAGCUCUAUUGGCUUAGACAUCAUGACCAUGUGAUCAGAUCCUUUGAUCUCCACCACAUCAUUGGGUGGAUUUCUCUCAAUCAUCCACAGUUGAAGAUCCCUCCUUGCCACCUUAUCUUUUUCGGAUAUGAUGUAAACCCGUUUAACCGACCCAUAAUUCUUAGAGGACAACAUUAGCUGCUUUGAUAGGUCUUCAUCACUAAACAAACGUAGUGGUCUCAACAACAAGGUGGCCAGUGUCAAAUCCUACAACAGUUGUAACAUACAAUGUUGAUAUGUUAGUUUCAACAAGAACUUUUGUAUUUAAUAUAAUGUAUUUUCCACUCUAUUUUUAUUUUU
Quercus robur (English oak) is the source of this 594-nucleotide long non-coding RNA. RefSeq lists it as uncharacterized. The transcript has 2 exons. The record is from RefSeq and is a predicted model, not a curated record. Lineage: Eukaryota; Viridiplantae; Streptophyta; Magnoliopsida; Fagales; Fagaceae.